RNAcentral lists this non-coding RNA (29 nucleotides) under Macaca fascicularis (crab-eating macaque). RNAcentral also lists the same sequence under 1 other name. Lineage: Eukaryota; Metazoa; Chordata; Mammalia; Primates; Cercopithecidae. The record is from RNAcentral.
UGUUGGAGAAUCUCCUCUGAAGCUGUUUC